RNAcentral lists this transfer RNA (57 nucleotides) under Bos taurus (domestic cattle). It matches the Rfam family "tRNA", at positions 8 to 63 of the family's 71-position model. From Rfam's summary of the family: Transfer RNA (tRNA) molecules are approximately 80 nucleotides in length. Their secondary structure includes four short double-helical elements and three loops (D, anti-codon, and T loops). Further hydrogen bonds mediate the characteristic L-shaped molecular structure. tRNAs have two regions of fundamental functional importance: the anti-codon, which is responsible for specific mRNA codon recognition, and the 3' end, to which the tRNAs corresponding amino acid is attached (by aminoacyl-tRNA synthetases). tRNAs cope with the degeneracy of the genetic code in two manners: having more than one tRNA (with a specific anti-codon) for a particular amino acid; and 'wobble' base-pairing, i.e. permitting non-standard base-pairing at the 3rd anti-codon position. The record is from Rfam by way of RNAcentral. RNAcentral also lists the same sequence under 5 other names. Lineage: Eukaryota; Metazoa; Chordata; Mammalia; Artiodactyla; Bovidae.
UGGCUGAGACGGUAAAGCGUCUGCCUACAGUGCAGGAGACCCGGGUUCAAUCCCUGG